UCUCCUACGGGGGGCAGCAGUCGGGAAUAUUGCGCAAUGGAGGCAACUCUGACGCAGUGACGCCGCGUAUAGGAAGAAGGUUUUCGGAUUGUAAACUAUUGUCCUCAGGGAAGAAAAAAGACUGUACCUGAGUAAGAAGCACCGGCUAAAUACGUGCCAGCAGCCGCGGUAAUACGUAUGGUGCAAGCGUUAUCCGGAUUUACUGGGUGUAAAGGGAGCGCAGGCGGUGCGGCAAGUCUGAUGUGAAAGCCCGGGGCUCAACCCCGGGACUGCAUUGGAAACUACCGAACUAGAGUGUCGGAGAG
This 305-nucleotide ribosomal RNA is filed under the name uncultured bacterium. RNAcentral describes it as "bacterial SSU rRNA". It matches the Rfam family "Bacterial small subunit ribosomal RNA", at positions 335 to 656 of the family's 1533-position model. The record is from RNAcentral.